Gopherus evgoodei (Goodes thornscrub tortoise) is the source of this 5492-nucleotide RNA transcript. It is a transcript of the gene named Golgi integral membrane protein 4-like, with no coding region annotated. NCBI's taxonomy places the organism in Eukaryota, Metazoa, Chordata, Testudines, Testudinidae. The record is from RefSeq and is a predicted model, not a curated record. The transcript has 16 exons.
CUGUGGCUUCCUCUUUGAAAUUGUUGCAAGUUUGAGGAGGGGGAGGCAAGAGCCGGAAAGUCUGGAGAUUCCUGCAGGAAGGGAGGGGGCGGGGGGUUAGGAAGCCGGGCCCAAAGCGCCCCCCUCGCACUGAUCUUGGAUCGAGUGGUUUUUGCAGCACAUGGGAAGCAAAAGUUUUCCUCUCCCCCGUUGCCCACUGCUGCUCCCCGCCCCUGGUGCCCGCCGACGCAGCAGCCAGCAGCAGCCAGCCCGCUCCCCGGGACCGGGCUCGGGCUCGGGCUCGCGCGGGCGCCUCGCUUCGCCCUUUGCAGCUGCGCUGCUCCGCCCUGGAUACUUCGGGCUGGUUUGUGCCCCGCUCUCCUGCGGGCUGUGAGCGGUAAAAGGCGAUCGGCCCCUUCCCCGCCGUCCUGCGGGCUGGGGGGAGGAGAGGAACAGCCUCCCCCAGCAAGGGGCACGCGGGGCAGGGAGGAACUUCAGGGAUGUGCAGUUUGCGGGGAGCGUGUUUGAGCUUCGCCCGGCUGCUUUAGCGGACGCAGGGAAGCGACGCGGCUCCGAGCCCGGUCGGCUCCGGUCUCAGCAUGGGGACUGGCAUGUGCUCGAGACGGCAAAAGGGGCUUCUGCAGACCGGCUUCUGCCUGGUGGCGGUGGCGUGUGUGGGCGCCGGAGUUUUCCUGUACAGUCACUUGCAGCAGAAGACGAGGAGCGCCGAAGCCCUGGCUCUGAAAUUCAGACAGCAGCAGGAAGCUCUGUCCGCCCAGCUCCAAGUUGUGUACGAGCACAGAUCACGGCUCGAACGAUCCCUGCAGAAGGAGCGAGGGGAGCACAAGAAGACUAAAGAAGAUUUUUUGGUGUAUAAAUUAGAAGCUCAAGAGGCACUCAACAAAGAGAAGCAAGAUUCUAUGAACAGAUAUGGGGCCCUCAGUUCACAACAUAAGAUACUGAAGAACCAGCACGAAGACGUCAAGAAACAGCUGCUCGACCUGCAGCUGCAGCACAACAGCUUGAAACUAGAACAUCGCAAGACGCUGGAGACCCACAGCCAGAAAUACACGCAGCUGCAGCGGGAGAAGGAGAGUGAAGUCACGGGCCUGCAGGAUACCGUCUUCAAACUCAGAGAGGAGAGCAAGCUUCUCCGGCAGGCCCACCAGGAUGUCCACUCUCAGCUCCUUGAUGCUCAGACCCAGAUGGAGGAGUUCAGGCAGCUCAAGGAAGCUCUGCAGAAGAUGCCAAGUUUCAAGGAAGUGGGACCUGCAAAGGGGCACGAACAGCUCCGGGCAGUCAAGGAACAGCCCCCGGUGCCAGGCAGCAACCAUUUGCAGCUCUCUAGGCCGAAGGUGUUUGCAGCCAAUGGGGCCAAAAUGCUGCUGAGCCCCGUGGAUCAGGAGAAGCCCGUUGGUGGGAGCCUGAUGCGACCACAGAUCUCGGGGGUCAGGAGCCAGGGAGAGGGGACUUUGCCCCAAGGCCAGACCUCGCAUAAUAAUGAUGGCCCCAGGCCUCAGAGCGAUGUGCUGUUCGCCCAUCCGGCCCCGCUGCAGGAAGCCAACCCACCACCAGCAGCCCUGCCUGCCCGGCCGCAGGGACAUGGGGACAGCACUGUGAUCCGAUUCACGCGGACAGUGAACAGUGUGCAGAAUGGGAACUCGGAUGACAAGGUGGUGGUGAGCAUUCAGGGGAAAACCAGUGAGGAAAACCAUGCUCCCAGAAGGGUGGUGCCUAAUCUGAAACGGCCAUCUACAUUGGAGAAGGAGGCGGCUCCAGCCAACCAUCCCUCGACAGGGAACAAACCGGCGCAGAUGCAAAGCUGGCAAGACAUUGUUAACAAAGUGAAUGCCCAAAUGGACGAGGAACAAGUGCACAGUUACCCAAAGCACCGUCACUUUGACACCAGAUCUGAGCAGAAUGGCAAUCUGUUGCUGGCCAAUCAACAAAGAGGGGUGGAGCAUCCGAUAGCCAAUCGGGAAGGAAACAAGGAAGGGACCGAUGAUGAGGAACUCGAGAUGGAUGCUGGGAUGAUCGAAAGAGAAGAGAAUAUGCACACGCGAAAAGAGGCGGUGGUCCAGGAGCCAAUGAUGCCUGAUGAUGCUGCAGACCCUGCUCAGGACCCCAAUAACCAAGGGGAAGAUGAGUUUGAGGAGGCUGAGCUGGAGAGGCCGGAUUUUGAGGAGAAGGUGGUCCAAUCAGACACAUACAAGGAACCCAGCAUGCUAGGGAAAGAGGAGACAAAGAAGCCACUGAAGGGUGCCGCUGGGCCAGACAAAGCCAGGGAAGAGCCAAUGGAUGACUACCAAGAAGAUCAGGAGCAAGAAAUUUCUUGCAGAAUAGCUCGGUGUAGCUUGAAAGCUUGUACAUUUCACCAACAGAAGUCAGUCCAAUAAAAUAUUACCUCACCCACCCUGUCUUGCUACUAUCCUGGGACCAACAGGGCUACAACGCUGCAAACAACAAUUUAAAAGGAAUCUCCUGCUUCCACAUUUUGACAAUGGCAAGAGCGGCAGGAACAUGCUCCCAACAUAGAUCUUUCAAGAGCUUUCUGAAAGCAUUAUGUGGUUAAGCAAGUGUGCCUGGUGUUAUGUCCCCACCAAUGGUUGUCUUCACUUUCCCUCUGUAUUGCAGAAAAUGGAUGACCCCAGGAGACUGAGUGAAUGGAUGAGUCCUUCUGGUGACUGGAAGUGGCUUCGGAUUACAAGUCUCUCUGGGGCAGUGACAAGGACAACUUAAAUCCAGAGGAAACCAGUGCCAUCACCCAAAGCAGAUCUGCAGCAACCUGAGGGACCUCAGUGCCAUUGUGUGACUCAAAGAUCUUUAGAGUUGUAUGUGGUAUUAUUUUCCAUAGAGGACUUUCUAUAGAUCAGUCUUAACUAGACCAAGGGAAGUUUUAAAUAGCUAAAGAAAACUGUGUUUAGAAAGAAGCAGGGGAGAAAUAGUCACACAUUCAGGUGUCUGAACAUCAGUGUUCUGUGAUAAAUAACUUAUACUGUGAAAUAUUUGUGAGGUAUGUAAUUGUGGUUGGGCGUGGUCAUGCAGACAUUACUAAUAGAAAAGUAAGUAUUGCUAUGGAAUCCCGAAAGAUUGGGUUAUAAGCAACUUUCGAGAUAAUGUUGAUUUGUGCAUUUUAUUGUGAUUUUUAGAACUAAACAUUCCACAAGAGGAUAAAAGAGAUGGGACAAAGAAAGCCCCAACUCCUCAAACUGUGUGCCAUAACCUAGAUUGUUGCAUUGUUUUGUAGUGGUGUUACAUAGGAAAAUUCACAGUAAAAUAAAGUAAGUUAGUAAUAGGAUCAAAAUUAGGCAUAUUAAUUAGUGCUGAUUUAAAGCAUUCAGAGAUAUAAGCCUGUUCUUCAGCACAUAUAUCGUUAGGUACCAUCUGUUUUUGUGAAGUUGUUUUCCUUCAUUUUAUUUGCAGACCAGUUGUUAAGAUCUUUUUGUUUUAAUAGUAAAUUUGCCAAGUGUAUCAUGUAAAGGUUUGGAAUUUUGUUUUCUAUUUUUAGUAAAAAAAAAAAAAAAAAAAAGAUUAAAAAGCAGCUAUUCUGCCUGAGCCAUACCCAGUUUUCAAACUUAAAAUAUCUCAGUGAGUUAAAAAUAAAAAUCAGGAAUCUGCUUGAAGUGCCAGCAAAAUUGCAGUUUUGAAAAGUGAACUAACUUAUUUUUAAGUGCUUUUUUGAUUUGAGGCCUCUAAACACGUUUAACUUUAAGCAUAUGCUUAAAUCCCAUUGAUUUAGAUGUGCUUAAUUGCUUUCCUGAAUUGGAAUGCUAUCCUGAAACUUGGCCAAAGAGAGUAGAUCCAUAAAGCUUAAGAAACUCGGGGGCUGAUGCAAAGUCCACUGAGCUGAGUGGAAAAACUCCCAUUGACAGCAGUGGGUUUUGGAUCAAGCCCUAUGCUAAGCAGCUCAACAACUCAGGAGCCCAGGCCUGCCCCUAUUGAAAUCAACAGGAGUUUUGUCAUUGGCUUCAACAGCACUAGGCCCUUUCAAAAGUAACUUUUUAGAAAAAAACAUUUGGCUCUAGCCAAUGUGUCUCAGGUUUCUGCCUGCUGCAGUUUAAAAAGGCCAAUUUAACAGAGUCUGAAAACUGGGAUUCAUAAUGGAAACAUGAACCGAGCUUUAAUUAUAAUGGUGUGAAAAAUACACGAUAAUAACUACUGUGACCAGUCUUCGCUACCCCAUUUUAUGAAUGCAAUACACCUUUGUUCCACUAAGGUACCACCUCCUAAACUCUGAAUUCUGUUCUGUAGUGGCUGAGUAUUUUUAAUAUAGGAACACUAGCUGUAAUCCAUUCACUCGAUGCUACAGUAAACUCGGAGUUUAGUUAAACUCUACUAUUCAUUACAUUGUGCCUUAGUACUGAAAGUUUGACCCAUUAAUAUUGGCUUUUCUGCUUUUGUUGUAACUGUUAGAGGAACAUGUGUACCUCCCACAGUGUUUGUCUAUUUAAUAGGAAAAUAAACCUAGGCUAGCUGACUAUUACUUGAAUUUUAAUAUAUAUUUAAAAUAGAGUAAAUUACCUUCCUAGAGCUUCUGUGUUACUUUUUGUUUAGUAUUGUCUCCACAUAGUUUACUGGUAUAACAAAAAUCUAACAUUAUAUCACAUAAAAAAGUAAUGGUAGGGGGGAAAUAGGGUUUAUGUAGCAGCGUAUUAUUAAUAGAUCACAUGUGAAAUGAAAGUGUUUGUCUGAAUAAACAAAUAUGUUUAUAAUCAGUAAAUGCCCAGUGGGCAUUUCUUAGGUAGUAUGGAUGACCUAAAACUUGUAAGUAGAUGGCAUAUGUAGAAACCCUCUAGGAUCUGUUAAAAUACAAUAUUUGUACUAAUCAGAUGAGCACAGCCAUACUACAGACUACAUUUCUCUCCCUCCCCGUGUGUGUUUUUAAUCCAGCAAGCAAACUUAUUUCCCUUAGGACUGAAAUAAUUUAAGGAUGGUCAGGAAGCUGAAGGUCUGUAUUUUGUCAGACAAAAAUACCUCUCUUUUUCAUUAUUUCUUCAUGUUUUCCUUCUAACAAGAAGCUUGCUGUAAAUUACACUUCUUCCCUUCAUGAGUUUCUUGCCUCUGAAUCUUGGUUUAAAACCACCUGACAGUAUUUAAAAUAUAAUUGCAAUCAGAGGAUGAGCCCUGACAGACUAUUUCAUUCACGUUUUUCCCCAGAGAGAGAUAAUGUGUGAAAUAAUCUGAAAUUAGUUCAAGGAUAUUAAGACAAGUUGUACCUAGUGGAGUCAUGUCAUCCUUUGUAUAAAUCCAUUAAAUUCAGUGGAUUUAAACCCACAGUGAAUUUGGCCUAGUUUCAUUUGAAGGCCUCGCAUGCAUCUACCCUAUGGUCAAUCCUAGGCAGGAUUAGUAGAGUGGAACUAAUAUUGUACAUUUCUAUCCAUUUCCGUCACUCGCUGUUGCUGUCUUGUCCUUCAUCUUGCCAUGAAUUGCCAGACUUUAAAUAUAUAAUUAAUGAGCCUUGUAUCACUUUGGAGUUGACCUUAAUGCAUUAAAAGAAUAUAAUAUACACGUUA